GACGAACGCUGGCGGCGUGCCUAAUACAUGCAAGUAGAACGCUGAAGGAGGAGCUUGCUUCUCUGGAUGAGUUGCGAACGGGUGAGUAACGCGUAGGUAACCUGCCUGGUAGCGGGGGAUAACUAUUGGAAACGAUAGCUAAUACCGCAUAAUAGUAGAUGUCGCAUGACAUUUGCUUAAAAGUUGCAAUUGCAUCACUACCAGAUGGACCUGCGUUGUAUUAGCUAGUUGGUGAGGUAACGGCUCACCAAGGCAACGAUACAUAGCCGACCUGAGAGGGUGAUCGGCCACACUGGGACUGAGACACGGCCCAGACUCCUACGGGAGGCAGCAGUAGGGAAUCUUCGGCAAUGGACGGAAGUCUGACCGAGCAACGCCGCGUGAGUGAAGAAGGUUUUCGGAUCGUAAAGCUCUGUUGUAAGAGAAGAACGAGUGUGAGAGUGGAAAGUUCACACUGUGACGGUAUCUUACCAGAAAGGGACGGCUAACUACGUG
Molecule: ribosomal RNA, 495 nt
Filed under: uncultured bacterium
Lineage: Bacteria
Description: partial 16S ribosomal RNA
Rfam family: Bacterial small subunit ribosomal RNA
Source: RNAcentral